CCUACGGGAGGCUGCAGUGAGGAAUAUUGGUCAAUGGACGAGAGUCUGAACCAGCCAAGUAGCGUGAAGGAUGACUGCCCUAUGGGUUGUAAACUUCUUUUAUAUGGGAAUAAAAUGUUCCACGUGUGGGAUUUUGUAUGUACCAUAUGAAUAAGGAUCGGCUAACUCCGUGCCAGCAGCCGCGGUAAUACGGAGGGUCCGAGCGUUAUCCGGAUUUAUUGGGUUUAAAGGGAGCGUAGGUGGAUUGUUAAGUCAGUUGUGAAAGUUUGCGGCUCAACCGUAAAAUUGCAGUUGAAACUGGCAGUCUUGAGUACAGUAGAGGUGGGCGGAAUUCGUGGUGUAGCGGUGAAAUGCUUAGAUAUCACGAAGAACUCCGAUUGCGAAGGCAGUUCACUGGACUGCAACUGACACUGAGGCUCGAAAGUGUGGGUAUCAAACAGGAUUAGAUACCCGUGUAGUC
This 460-nucleotide ribosomal RNA is filed under the name uncultured bacterium. RNAcentral describes it as "partial 16S ribosomal RNA". It matches the Rfam family "Bacterial small subunit ribosomal RNA", at positions 338 to 795 of the family's 1533-position model. The record is from RNAcentral.